RNAcentral lists this ribosomal RNA (1199 nucleotides) under Limosilactobacillus fermentum. RNAcentral's name for it is "bacterial SSU rRNA". It matches the Rfam family "Bacterial small subunit ribosomal RNA", at positions 52 to 1209 of the family's 1533-position model. The record is from RNAcentral. Lineage: Bacteria; Bacillati; Bacillota; Bacilli; Lactobacillales; Lactobacillaceae.
UAUAAUGCAAGUCGAACGCGUUGGCCCAAUUGAUUGAUGGGUUGCACCUGAUUGAUUUUGGUCGCCAACGAGUGGCGGACGGGUGAGUAACACGUAGGUAACCUGCCCAGAAGCGGGGGACAACAUUUGGAAACAGAUGCUAAUACCGCAUAACAGCGUUGUUCGCAUGAACAACGCUUAAAAGAUGGCUUCUCGCUAUCACUUCUGGAUGGACCUGCGGUGCAUUAGCUUGUUGGUGGGGUAACGGCCUACCAAGGCGAUGAUGCAUAGCCGAGUUGAGAGACUGAUCGGCCACAAUGGGACUGAGACACGGCCCAUACUCCUACGGGAGGCAGCAGUAGGGAAUCUUCCACAAUGGGCGCAAGCCUGAUGGAGCAACACCGCGUGAGUGAAGAAGGGUUUCGGCUCGUAAAGCUCUGUUGUUAAAGAAGAACACGUAUGAGAGUAACUGUUCAUACGUUGACGGUAUUUAACCAGAAAGUCACGGCUAACUACGUGCCAGCAGCCGCGGUAAUACGUAGGUGGCAAGCGUUAUCCGGAUUUAUUGGGCGUAAAGAGAGUGCAGGCGGUUUUCUAAGUCUGAUGUGAAAGCCUUCGGCUUAACCGGAGAAGUGCAUCGGAAACUGGAUAACUUGAGUGCAGAAGAGGGUAGUGGAACUCCAUGUGUAGCGGUGGAAUGCGUAGAUAUAUGGAAGAACACCAGUGGCGAAGGCGGCUACCUGGUCUGCAACUGACGCUGAGACUCGAAAGCAUGGGUAGCGAACAGGAUUAGAUACCCUGGUAGUCCAUGCCGUAAACGAUGAGUGCUAGGUGUUGGAGGGUUUCCGCCCUUCAGUGCCGGAGCUAACGCAUUAAGCACUCCGCCUGGGGAGUACGACCGCAAGGUUGAAACUCAAAGGAAUUGACGGGGGCCCGCACAAGCGGUGGAGCAUGUGGUUUAAUUCGAAGCUACGCGAAGAACCUUACCAGGUCUUGACAUCUUGCGCCAACCCUAGAGAUAGGGCGUUUCCUUCGGGAACGCAAUGACAGGUGGUGCAUGGUCGUCGUCAGCUCGUGUCGUGAGAUGUUGGGUUAAGUCCCGCAACGAGCGCAACCCUUGUUACUAGUUGCCAGCAUUAAGUUGGGCACUCUAGUGAGACUGCCGGUGACAAACCGGAAGAAGGUGGGGACGACGUCAGAUCAUCAUGCCCCUUAUGACC